UGUAGAAUAAGCUAAAUUUAAGCUAUUGGGUUCAUACCCCAAAUAUGAAUUAUUAUUCUUUUACAG
RNAcentral lists this transfer RNA (66 nucleotides) under Typhlosyrinx sp. MNHN IM 2013-18371. RNAcentral describes it as "tRNA-Met". The record is from RNAcentral. Lineage: Eukaryota; Metazoa; Mollusca; Gastropoda; Neogastropoda; Raphitomidae.